Molecule: ribosomal RNA, 495 nt
Filed under: uncultured bacterium
Lineage: Bacteria
Description: partial 16S ribosomal RNA
Rfam family: Bacterial small subunit ribosomal RNA
Source: RNAcentral
GACGAACGCUGGCGGCGUGCCUAAUACAUGCAAGUAGAACGCUGAAGGAGGAGCUUGCUUCUCUGGAUGAUUUGCGAACGGGUGAGUAACGCGUAGGUAACCUGCCUUGUAGCGGGGGAUAACUAUUGGAAACGAUAGCUAAUACCGCAUAAGAGUAGAUGUUGCAUGACAUUUGCUUAAAAGGUGCAAUUUCAUCACUACCAGAUGGACCUGCGUUGUAUUAGCUAGUUGGUGGGGUAACGGCUUACCAAGGCGAAGAUACAUAGCCGACCUGAGAGGGGGGUCGGCCCAACUGGGAACGGGAAAAGGCCCAGACUCCUAAGGGAGGCAGCAGUAGGGAAACUUCGGCAAUGGACGGAAGUCUGACCGAGCAACGCCGGGUGAGUGAAGAAGGUUUUCGGAUCGUAAAGCUCCGUUGUAAGAGAAGAACGAGUGUGAGAGUGGAAAGUUCACACUGUGACGGUAUCUUACCAGAAAGGGACGGCUAACUACGUG